AUCUUCACCACUGCUCUCUCAGAGAUCCAGGUCCGGGAGAUGACAGUGGCUCCCAGAAAGCCCAGGAUUCAAUCGCUGAGAGAGUGCUUAGGCCCGAAUGCCGGCCCAAAUCGUUCUACUCACCGUGUCGGAGGCCGAGGCCGAGGCCGAGAGCGAUGAGAGUGCAGGGAAGUGGGGAAGAGGGGGUGGCCGCCAGGCUCCUCCGCUUCCCUGGGUCCACGGCGGAUCCCUCCCGCUUGUCAGGAGGCGGCCAGCGGGGGCAGGAGAGGAAGGGACGGGCCGAGCGGGUCGGGGCUUGCCGUUUGACUGGAAUUGCCAGAAUGGCGGACCGAGCCCCACGACAACCUACCUCCCUGGGCUCCUCGCCGCAGCGCUGCGGCUCGCCUCCCUCUGCUCCUCCUCCUCCGCCGGAUCGCGGCGAGCGGAUCGAGGACUGCCUAGCGCCCCUCUGCCCACCGGUGGUUGGAGGCCGCGGCGGCUGCGCGUUGAGUCGUUUCCUGCCGGUUGACCUGAGCCUACUUCGCAGUAGCAGGACCGCUGCUGUGGAGCUGGUCGCAGGCGGUGUGUGCCGGUCGCCUAGUCAGGAGAACUAGUCCUCGACUCACGGUGAGGGAAUGGACCGACACGGGUAUUGUACCGCUGAGGGAAAGGAGCGGGACUCCGGACCUCCAGGAGGUAGGGAGUGAGGCCAGUAGGACCGGCGCGCCUCCGGGGGGAUUCCUCCCGGGCGUUGAGUUGCCAACCUGGGACCCGAGGAAGAUCGGCGUGGUGGUGUGCUUUUUGUUGUUGUUAACCCUCCUCGGAUUUCUCGAAUUUCACACCACUGUCCAUAUGCGAUGAUGUUUGUUUGCCCUUGACGCACUUACUCAUGGAUGGUACUUCUUCAGCCUCGUUAGACAGCCUGGUGAUGGAGGAUGAAGAAA
Molecule: long non-coding RNA, 923 nt
Filed under: Homo sapiens (human)
Lineage: Eukaryota; Metazoa; Chordata; Mammalia; Primates; Hominidae
Description: non-protein coding ASH1L-AS1:7
Source: RNAcentral